GAUGAACGCUGGCGGCGUGCUUAACACAUGCAAGUCGAACGAAGCACCUUGAUUUGCUUCUUCGGAUGAAGAUCUUGGUGACUGAGUGGCGGACGGGUGAGUAACGCGUGGGUAACCUGCCUCAUACAGGGGGAUAACAGUUAGAAAUGACUGCUAAUACCGCAUAAGACCACAGCACCGCAUGGUGCAGGGGUAAAAACUCCGGUGGUAUGAGAUGGACCCGCGUCUGAUUAGGUAGUUGGUGGGGUAACGGCCUACCAAGCCGACGAUCAGUAGCCGACCUGAGAGGGUGACCGGCCACAUUGGGACUGAGACACGGCCCAAACUCCUACGGGAGGCAGCAGUGGGGAAUAUUGCACAAUGGGGGAAACCCUGAUGCAGCGACGCCGCGUGAGCGAUGAAGUAUUUCGGUAUGUAAAGCUCUAUCAGCAGGGAAGAAAAUGACGGUACCUGACGAAGAAGCACCGGCUAAAUACGUG
RNAcentral lists this ribosomal RNA (479 nucleotides) under uncultured bacterium. RNAcentral describes it as "partial 16S ribosomal RNA". It matches the Rfam family "Bacterial small subunit ribosomal RNA", at positions 28 to 507 of the family's 1533-position model. The record is from RNAcentral.